RNA transcript from Eutrema salsugineum, 965 nucleotides. It is a transcript of the gene named putative caffeoyl-CoA O-methyltransferase At1g67980, with no coding region annotated. The transcript is spliced from 3 exons. NCBI's taxonomy places the organism in Eukaryota, Viridiplantae, Streptophyta, Magnoliopsida, Brassicales, Brassicaceae. The record is from RefSeq and is a predicted model, not a curated record.
UCUAUGAUUCAUAAAAAUCUGUGCUUUUGUUGGUUUGUGUUCGUCACAGUACACCUUGGAAACGUCAGCGUAUCCAAGAGAGCACGAGUUACUCAAGGAACUCCGGAAAGCUACUGUCCAGAAAUAUGGCAAUUUAAGCGAGAUGGAGGUUCCAGUUGAUGAGGGUCAUCUUUUAUCGAUGCUUUUAAAGAUCAUGAAUGCUAAGAACACUCUCGAGCUCGGUGUUUUCACCGGUUACUCUCUUCUUACCACGGCCCUUGCUUUGCCUGAAGAUGGACGUGUAAUGCUUUUUCUUUGUCUUGCUAUAAAUCAUAUUGUUGUGACCAUUUUUUAACAUGUGCAAGUGCAACCAAAACAUUCUAAAAGACGCAAUUACAAAAAAAAAAAAACAUUUCUUAAUAUAUUGGCCCCUAUACUGUUUCGAAAAAAAAAAAGUCUUCUAACAUAUUAUUCGUACCUUUAACAUAAAUUUUACACUUGACCUACAAAUAGUUUGAGAGGUCAUAGAUAGGUGGGAAUGGGAUAACAAAAAUAUUGUUAUGGAUACUCUUUUGGAUAUAGAUUACUGCAAUAGACAUCGACAAAGAAGCUUACGAAGUGGGACUAGAGUUUAUCAAGAAGGCAGAUGUUGAUCACAAGAUCAAUUUCAUCCAUUCCGAUGGUAUCAAGGCCUUAGACCAAUUGGUGAACGACAAACAAGAGUUUGAUUUUGCAUUUGCGGAUGCUGACAAGUCAAACUACGUUAACUUUCAUGAAAGGCUUCUGAAAUUGGUGAAGGUUGAAGGAAUCAUUGCGUUCGAUAACACCUUGUGGUUUGGUUUUGUGGCUGAGGAUGAAGAGGAAGUUCCAGAGCAUAUGAGGGAAUAUAGAGACGCUCUUAUAGAGUUCAAUAAGAAAUUGGCUUUAGAUCCUAGAGUCGAAAUCUCUCAGAUCUCCAUUGGAGAUGGUGUCACGCUCUGCAGGCG